RNAcentral lists this ribosomal RNA (263 nucleotides) under uncultured bacterium. RNAcentral's name for it is "partial 16S ribosomal RNA". It matches the Rfam family "Bacterial small subunit ribosomal RNA", at positions 524 to 787 of the family's 1533-position model. The record is from RNAcentral.
UACGGGNGGCCAACGUGUCUUCGGAAUUAUUGGGCGUAAAGCGCGUGUAGGCGGUUUGAUUAGUCUGAUGUGAAAGCCCUGGGCUCAACCCAGGAAGUGCAUUGGAAACUGUCAGACUUGAAUACGGGAGAGGGUAGUGGAAUUCCUAGUGUAGGAGUGAAAUCCGUAGAUAUUAGGAGGAACACCGGUGGCGAAGGCGGCUACCUGGACCGAUAUUGACGCUGAGACGCGAAAGCGUGGGUAGCAAACAGGAUUAGAAACCC